This 1300-nucleotide ribosomal RNA is filed under the name metagenome. RNAcentral describes it as "bacterial LSU rRNA". It matches the Rfam family "Bacterial large subunit ribosomal RNA", at positions 1633 to 2925 of the family's 2925-position model. The record is from RNAcentral.
CCUCAACGACCGUACCGCAAACCGACACUGGUGCGCGAGAUGAGUAUUCUAAGGCGCUUGAGAGAACUCAGGAGAAGGAACUCGGCAAAUUGACACCGUAACUUCGGAAGAAGGUGUGCCCUAUUAGUGUGAAGUGAACAACGGAGCAUGAAUGGGUUGCAAAAAAUCGGUGGCUGCGACUGUUUAUUAAAAACACAGCACUCUGCAAACACGAAAGUGGACGUAUAGGGUGUGACGCCUGCCCGGUGCUGGAAGAUUAAAUGAUGGGGUGCAAGCUCUUGAUUGAAGUCCCAGUAAACGGCGGCCGUAACAAUAACGGUCCUAAGGUAGCGAAAUUCCUUGUCGGGUAAGUUCCGACCUGCACGAAUGGCGUAACGAUGGCCACACUGUCUCCUCCUGAGACUCAGCGAAGUUGAAAUGUUUGUGAUGAUGCAAUCUCCCCGCGGAAAGACGGAAAGACCCCAUGAACCUUUACUGUAGCUUUGUAUUGGACUUUGAACAGAUCUGUGUAGGAUAGGUGGGAGGCUUUGAAGCAGGGUCGCUAGAUCUUGUGGAGCCAACGUUGAAAUACCACCCUGGUGUGUUUGAGGUUCUAACCUAGGUCCAUUAUCUGGAUCGGGGACAGUGCAUGGUAGGCAGUUUGACUGGGGCGGUCUCCUCCCAAAGCGUAACGGAGGAGUUCGAAGGUACGCUAGUUACGGUCGGACAUCGUGACGAUAGUGCAAUGGCAUAAGCGUGCUUAACUGCGAGACUGACAAGUCGAGCAGAUGCGAAAGCAGGACAUAGUGAUCCGGUGGUUCUGUAUGGAAGGGCCAUCGCUCAACGGAUAAAAGGUACUCUGGGGAUAACAGGCUGAUACCGCCCAAGAGUUCAUAUCGACGGCGGUGUUUGGCACCUCGAUGUCGGCUCAUCUCAUCCUGGGGCUGUAGCCGGUCCCAAGGGUAUGGCUGUUCGCCAUUUAAAGAGGUACGUGAGCUGGGUUUAAAACGUCGUGAGACAGUUUGGUCCCUAUCUUCCGUGGGCGCUGCAGAUUUGAGGAAGCCUGCUCCUAGUACGAGAGGACCGGAGUGGACACACCUCUGGUGUAUCGGUUGUCACGCCAGUGGCAUUGCCGAGUAGCUAAGUGUGGAAGAGAUAACCGCUGAAAGCAUCUAAGCGGGAAACUCGUUUCAAGAUGAGAUCUGCCGGGGCCUUGAGCCCCCUGAAGAGUCGUUCAAGACCAGGACGUUGAUAGGUCAGGUGUGGAAGCGCAGUAAUGCGUUAAGCUAACUGAUACUAAUUGCUCGUGCGGCUUGACCAA